Molecule: ribosomal RNA, 253 nt
Filed under: uncultured bacterium
Lineage: Bacteria
Description: partial 16S ribosomal RNA
Rfam family: Bacterial small subunit ribosomal RNA
Source: RNAcentral
UACGUAGGGGGCAAGCGUUGUCCGGAAUCAUUGGGCGUAAAGAGCGUGCAGGCGGCCCGAUAAGUCCGCUGUGAAAGUCCAGGGCUCAACCCUGGAAUGCCGGUGGAUACUGUCGGGCUCGAAUCCGGAAGAGGUGAGUGGAAUUCCUGGUGUAGCGGUGAAAUGCGCAGAUAUCAGGAGGAACACCAAUGGCGAAGGCAGCUCACUGGGACGGUAUUGACGCUGAGACGCGAAAGCGUGGGGAGCAAACAGG